GACGUAGGAUGCAAGCGUUGUCCGGAUUUAUUGGGCGUAAAGAGUUCGUAGGCGGUUCGUUAAGUCUGAUGUUAAAGAUCGGGGCUCAACCCUGGGAGUGCAUUGGAUACUGGCGAACUGGAGUGCAGUAGAGGCGAGUGGAAUUCCCAGUGUAGCGGUGAAAUGCGUAGAUAUUGGGAAGAACACCGGUGGCGUAGGCGACUCGCUGGGCUGUAACUGACGCUGAGGAACGAAAGCCAGGGGAGCGAAUGGG
Molecule: ribosomal RNA, 253 nt
Filed under: uncultured bacterium
Lineage: Bacteria
Description: partial 16S ribosomal RNA
Rfam family: Bacterial small subunit ribosomal RNA
Source: RNAcentral